Molecule: long non-coding RNA, 429 nt
Filed under: Salmo salar (Atlantic salmon)
Lineage: Eukaryota; Metazoa; Chordata; Actinopteri; Salmoniformes; Salmonidae
Description: lncRNA (ENSSSAG00000085674.1)
Source: RNAcentral
UGAAAAUUGUUAUUUGUCCAGUCUAAAUUUGACCAACUGGGGACAUUUUGUUGAACCCCACAAGGUCAAAUGCUAUUUCUAAGGGGUUUAGGGUUAAGGUUAGAAUUAGUGUUAGGGUUAGAAUUAGGGUUAGGGUUAGAAUUAGGGUUAGGGUUAGGCGCUAGGGUUAGGUUUAGGGUUAGGAGCUAGAGUUAGGGUUAGGGUUAGGGUUAGCGUUAGGGUUAGGGUUAGGAGCUAGAGUUAGGGUUAGGAGCUAGGGUUAGGGUUAGGAGCUAGGGUUAGGUUUAGGGUUAGGAGCUAGAGUUAGGGUUAGGAGCUAGGUUAGGUUUAGGGGUUAGGAGCUAGAGUUAGGUUUAGGGGUUAGGAGCUAGAGUUAGGUUUAGGGGUUAGGAGCUAGAGUUAGGUUUAGGGUUAGGAGCUAGAGUUAGG